Molecule: long non-coding RNA, 256 nt
Filed under: Elaeis guineensis (African oil palm)
Lineage: Eukaryota; Viridiplantae; Streptophyta; Magnoliopsida; Arecales; Arecaceae
Description: long non-coding RNA (EGUI_LNC066603)
Source: RNAcentral
CAAUGAGAAGAAAGGUUCAAGGUUGAUCCCGAUAGAUAUCUGUAGAGGUCGGACACAUGUGCAUCUCAAGAUCUUUCAGAUUCAAGAUCAUCAGUUGUGGUGUAUUUCAACCUACACAAGGUACUAAGAUCUGAUCUCAAUUUUAAUCUUUAAUUUUUAAAUUAUAUGUAUGUCUUAGAUCCAGGGCUCUGGUAGAUAUACAUUAGAUCUAUAGCAUGUGGAGUUAAAGGGUUUAAUCUAGAUCUAUUUUCACUGC